This 72-nucleotide transfer RNA is filed under the name Penicillium chrysogenum. Its description in RNAcentral is "tRNA-Asp (GTC) (tRNA-Asp-GTC-1 1 to 8)". It matches the Rfam family "tRNA". Rfam says of the family: Transfer RNA (tRNA) molecules are approximately 80 nucleotides in length. Lineage: Eukaryota; Fungi; Ascomycota; Eurotiomycetes; Eurotiales; Aspergillaceae. RNAcentral also lists the same sequence under 8 other names. The record is from RNAcentral.
UCUUCCUUGGUCUAGUGGUGAUGAUUUCCGCUUGUCACGCGGGAGACCGGGGUUCGAUUCCCCGAGGGAGAG